GACGAACGCUGGCGGCGUGCUUAACACAUGCAAGUCGAACGCUGAAGCUCAGCUUUUGUUGGGUGGAUGAGUGGCGAACGGGUGAGUAACACGUGAGUAACCUGCCUCCUUCUUUGGGAUAACGCCCGGAAACGGGUGCUAAUACUGGAUAUUCACUGGUCUUCGCAUGGGGGUUGGUGGAAAGGGUUUUUCUGGUGGGGGAUGGGCUCGCGGCCUAUCAGCUUGUUGGUGGGGUGAUGGCCUACCAAGGCUUUGACAGGUAGCCGGCCUGAGAGGGUGACCGGUCACAAUGGGACUGAGAUACGGCCCAGACUCCUACGGGAGGCAGCAGUGGGGAAUAUUGCACAAUGGGCGCAAGCCUGAUGCAGCGACGCCGCGUGAGGGAUGGAGGCCUUCGGGUUGUGAACCUCUUUCGCUCAUGGUCAAGCCGCAACAAUGGUUGUGGUGAGGGUAGUGGGUAAAGAAGCGCCGGCUAACUACGUG
Molecule: ribosomal RNA, 483 nt
Filed under: uncultured bacterium
Lineage: Bacteria
Description: partial 16S ribosomal RNA
Rfam family: Bacterial small subunit ribosomal RNA
Source: RNAcentral